This 785-nucleotide ribosomal RNA is filed under the name uncultured Pseudomonadaceae bacterium. RNAcentral's name for it is "SSU rRNA". It matches the Rfam family "Bacterial small subunit ribosomal RNA", at positions 90 to 871 of the family's 1533-position model. The record is from RNAcentral. Lineage: Bacteria; Pseudomonadati; Pseudomonadota; Gammaproteobacteria; Pseudomonadales; Pseudomonadaceae.
AUUCAGCGGCGGACGGGUGAGUAAUGCCUAGGAAUCUGCCUGGUAGUGGGGGAUAACGUCCGGAAACGGGCGCUAAUACCGCAUACGUCCUGAGGGAGAAAGUGGGGGAUCUUCGGACCUCACGCUAUCAGAUGAGCCUAGGUCGGAUUAGCUAGUUGGUGGGGUAAAGGCCAACCAAGGCGACGAUCCGUAACUGGUCUGAGAGGAUGAUCAGUCACACUGGAACUGAGACACGGUCCAGACUCCUACGGGAGGCAGCAGUGGGGAAUAUUGGACAAUGGGCGAAAGCCUGAUCCAGCCAUGCCGCGUGUGUGAAGAAGGUCUUCGGAUUGUAAAGCACUUUAAGUUGGGAGGAAGGGCAGUAAGUUAAUACCUUGCUGUUUUGACGUUACCAACAGAAUAAGCACCGGCUAACUUCGUGCCAGCAGCCGCGGUAAUACGAAGGGUGCAAGCGUUAAUCGGAAUUACUGGGCGUAAAGCGCGCGUAGGUGGUUCAGCAAGUUGGAUGUGAAAUCCCCGGGCUCAACCUGGGAACUGCAUCCAAAACUACUGAGCUAGAGUACGGUAGAGGGUGGUGGAAUUUCCUGUGUAGCGGUGAAAUGCGUAGAUAUAGGAAGGAACACCAGUGGCGAAGGCGACCACCUGGACUGAUACUGACACUGGGGUGCGAAAGCGUGGGGAGCAAACAGGAUUAGAUACCCUGGUAGUCCACGCCGUAAACGAUGUCGACUAGCCGUUGGGAUCCUUGAGAUCUUAGUGGCGCAGCUAACGCGAUAAGUCGACCG